Long non-coding RNA from Phascolarctos cinereus (koala), 1175 nucleotides. RefSeq lists it as uncharacterized. The record is from RefSeq and is a predicted model, not a curated record. NCBI's taxonomy places the organism in Eukaryota, Metazoa, Chordata, Mammalia, Diprotodontia, Phascolarctidae.
UCCCGGGGCGGGGUGGGGAGGGGGCCUGGGGCGCCGCCGGGACAGCUCGGGGAGGGCCCGGGGGGGGGCAACAGGAGGAGCGGGUGCGUCGCGGGACGCCGGCAGCCCUGUCGGCCUAGUGGUACAGAGGAGGAAACUGAGGCCCAGAGAGGCCAAGUGUCGGGCCCAGGGUCGCCCGAAGAAAAGGAAGAGUAAAAGAAGAGAAACCAACUUGGUAGAACAUCACCAAGGACAUUUGUUAACAGAAACGACUAGAUAGUGGAAAACAACCCCCCCCAAAAACUAAACUCCAAAACCAUCAGAUCCAGUGACAUGUUGAAGGGGGUGUGAGAAAACAGGCUGGUGGGUGUGCCAUGGCGGGGGGGGCGUGAACUGGUCCAGCCAUCCUGGAAAGCAAUCUGGCAUUCAUUAUACCUUCAAAAUUAUUAAGACUGCAUGCUCUUUGACCUGGCAACAGCUGCUAGGCUUGUACCCCAAAGGAAUCAAAGAAAGAAAGACCCUAAACGAAGGAGCUUUUUUUUGUAGUGGCAAAGAAUUAGAAACUAAGGAGAUUCAGUCACUUGGGGGCUGAACAACUUGUGUUAAAUGAUGAAACAUGCUACCCACCUCCAGAUAGGUGUUGGACUCAGAGUGCAUGCUGAGACUUUAAACAUGGCGGAUGCAAGAAUUUGUUUCGCUUGACUAUACAUGUAUGUAACAACUUUUGCUUUUCUUACUUUCUCAAGGGGUGUGGGGGGGGGGAAGAGGGAUGAGAUAGGGAGAAAAUGUGAACCUAAGAUUAAAUUGAAUAAACAAUGAAAACAAAUGAUGGUAUAAAACGUAUGGAAUAUUAUUGUGCUGUGAGAAAUGCUGAAAGGAUUGAUUUCAGAGAAACCUGGGAGGGCUUGUAUCAACUGAUGCUGAAUGAAAUGAGCAGAACCAGGAGAAGAAGUGACACAACAGCGUUAUGAAGACAAACAGCUCUGAAAGCCUGCAGGACUGCGGUCGACACGAUGACCAGCCACAGUUCUCCUGCCACAGAGGGGAUGGACGAAUGCAGCCAGUAUGGGACUUGGGUUUUGCUUGACUCUGCUUAUCUGUUAGGGGGACUUCUUUCUCCCAGUGGGAGGGAGAAAAAAAAACCAAAUGCUUGAUAAUUGAAAACAUUUAAUUAAAAAUAAAACCUUCAGUCCUGA